GGUACUCGAGUGGCGAACGGGUGAGUAACACGUGGGUGAUCUGCCCCGCACUUCGGGAUAAGCCUGGGAAACUGGGUCUAAUACCGGAUAGGACCACUUCUUGGAGGUUGUGGUGGAAAGUUUUUUCGGUGUGGGAUGAGCUCGCGGCCUAUCAGCUUGUUGGUGGGGUAAUGGCCUACCAAGGCGUCGACGGGUAGCCGGCCUGAGAGGGUGUACGGCCACAUUGGGACUGAGAUACGGCCCAGACUCCUACGGGAGGCAGCAGUGGGGAAUAUUGCACAAUGGGCGCAAGCCUGAUGCAGCGACGCCGCGUGGGGGAUGACGGCCUUCGGGUUGUAAACUCCUUUCGCUAGGGACGAAGCGCAAGUGACGGUACCUAGAGAAGAAGCACCGGCUAACUACGUGCCAGCAGCCGCGGUAAUACGUAGGGUGCGAGCGUUGUCCGGAAUUACUGGGCGUAAAGAGCUCGUAGGUGGUUUGUCGCGUCGUUUGUGUAAGCCCGCAGCUUAACUGCGGGACUGCAGGCGAUACGGGCAUAACUUGAGUGCUGUAGGGGAGACUGGAAUUCCUGGUGUAGCGGUGGAAUGCGCAGAUAUCAGGAGGAACACCGAUGGCGAAGGCAGGUCUCUGGGCAGUAACUGACGCUGAGGAGCGAAAGCAUGGGGAGCGAACAGGAUUAGAUACCCUGGUAGUCCAUGCCGUAAACGGUGGGCGCUAGGUGUGAGUCCCUUCCACGGGGUUCGUGCCGUAGCUAACGCAUUAAGCGCCCCGCCUGGGGAGUACGGCCGCAAGGCUAAAACUCAAAGGAAUUGACGGGGGCCCGCACAAGCGGCGGAGCAUGUGGAUUAAUUCGAUGCAACGCGAAGAACCUUACCUGGGCUUGACAUACACCAGA
RNAcentral lists this ribosomal RNA (895 nucleotides) under Corynebacterium sp. HMSC055D05. Its description in RNAcentral is "bacterial SSU rRNA". It matches the Rfam family "Bacterial small subunit ribosomal RNA", at positions 86 to 995 of the family's 1533-position model. The record is from RNAcentral. Lineage: Bacteria; Bacillati; Actinomycetota; Actinomycetes; Mycobacteriales; Corynebacteriaceae.